Molecule: non-coding RNA, 196 nt
Filed under: Paenibacillus swuensis
Lineage: Bacteria; Bacillati; Bacillota; Bacilli; Caryophanales; Paenibacillaceae
Source: RNAcentral
CUACAUAUUGUGGGAAUAGGUACUCCAAGACGAAAGUUUGGAGUUUAAUAGGGAAAUCGGUUCAAUGCCGAUGCGGUCCCGCCACUGUAACAGCGGAGUUCUGCGCAGAAAGCCACGGGGUGUUAAAGCAACCUGGAAGGCGCGUAAAGAAUGAUGAAGCUGGAGCCAGGAGACCUGCCUGUUCUGACAGCACGAU